UUAAGGAAGAACUGGAUUCAAGAAAUAUGGCAAGAAACUACCUUUUUAUUCAUUAGUUCUCAGCCGUUCCAUUGGAAAUCCAAAACAAAACAAAGAGAAAGACCCCAAGCCAAAUACCUCAAUUAAAAAAGAAAAAGAAAAAGGGGGGGUUUUGAGGGGCUUAAUUUAAGUACAACUUUGAAACAAAUGGAAUUCCUAGGAGGGAAGUAAACAACUUAGUAGCCUUUAGGCUUGUAGGCAAUGAAACUAAUGCACUGCACUUGACGAACGUUGUCGAACCCAAUGAUUCUAAUGAAUGCAUUGGGGUAUUCCUUCUUGCAAUUCUCAAGCUCCUCCAACACCUGAGCCGAGUCAGUGCACCCAAACAUGGGCAGUUUCCACAUGGUCCAGUAGCGUCCAUCGUAGUACGUGGGUAAGCUCGAGUACUUACGGUGCACGAAUCCCUCCUGCACAUACAUAUAAAACACAUUUAAUCAAAUCAAAUAUCCCACUAAAAAAAUAAAGUGUUGGAAAGGAAUAAUUUAGAGCUCGAAAACACCUCUAAUUCGAAUUCCAAGCAAGGAAUCCAUUUAGAGCGAAGAAGGUAAUCUACUUCCUUAGCCAACUGUACGGGUGUAAGAUCGGGGAGGUAUGAGAGUGUCUCGAACUUCUUCUUCCCAAGAGGAGGCCACACCUAUACUCAAAAGCCAAGAUAUAUAUUUGAUUCAAUUUAUGUAAUUUGUUGUGUUCAAACAAUUGGGGUAAUUUAAGUUGUAUUUAUGCAUCACCAAGUACCUGCAUGCAUUGCACUCUCCCACCAUUGCUUGCAAGAGAAGUGAUGUCGUUGUUGGCCUUCCUAGUGACUGGGAAAGCAGAGGCAGACUUGAGGCCGGUGAAGGGGGCCACCAUGUUGGCCUGUGCCGGGGAGGAGCAGUUCACGGUGGCAAUGGUUGCCGAUGAGAUCAUGGAGGAGGCCAUUGCUAUUACUGCUUACUAGUACUAUAUGCUACAGUUAUACAAAAGAGUCUCACUGAUCCCUUAAUAGUGUCACUGCCUUGGUGCAAUCCCCUAUAUAUAGUCAUAAAAUUUGGCCUAAGCUCACAACAUUUAGAGAUUGGUUUGGGAGAAAGGGUGACCGUUGGAUCCUAAAUCAGAUGACAUUACAACCAUUAUGACCACAAAGAGGGUGGAAACUUUUCUUGAAUGGUAAAGCCUUAUCUUUGGCAACCUGCCACGUGGAAGAAGCACAGUGAUCUUAUCUCAUUUCAUCCAAUGGAAACCGUGAAUGCCUGAUUUCUCCUUUGUCCCCUCUUCACGGUCCCAUUUGGCCAUUCCCGAUUCAAAAAAAAUCUAUGUCCAUACCUUGUUUGCUUGGUCAUGCUUGCCUUUUGUGUUUUUACCUUUCGCCUUAUCUUCAAAUAUGGUAACUCGGUAACCAAGUGUUAAUUCUUUCAUAUAAUUUUGAUGUCGAUUAUAGGAAUUAAUUGUUAACAUGAGCGCAGCUACAGUUGUAGUGGCAUGAUUUAAAAAAAAAAACUGUUAAAAAGGAGAAGGUAAUAUUAUUCUGACUAGACCUUUCUGAUGAUUAUAAACUGUUGCAGCUAAAAGAUGGAAGCAUUUUUUAGGAUUGGAAUGUAUGAGAGAAUUAAUGGCAAGUUACUGAAACAGGCUCUUACUUCAAGACCCCGCAACAUUGAAAGCCUUCCAACAAAACAAACAGUGAUUUUGGCAAUCAUUAGCAUGCAGUUAUAGAUGGCGCUUUUCUUUUUCCCUUUUUUGUAUUUAAAUACAAACAAAAAGGCUUGUAUCCCCAAAGAAUCUACAACAAGGAUUGGGGAAGAUUCAUAUAUAUGGAUUCCAUGUUUGAUUGCCUUGAGAUGCGAACAGGACCCAGUAAUGUGAGGGGUGAACCUUUGAUAAACGAAAGGAAGUUUGAUGUCACCAUUUUCGAGGAUAUAGUUUUGGAAGAAAAAGGGGGAGAAGAAGGAGAGUUGGCACAAUUUUAUAGUUCUGCAUCAUGACAUGAUUGUCCAUGUUCACUGCAGUGUACAAAUAUUAGGGUAUUACAAAUACAAUUUCCAACUCUGGAAAUAUUUUCUAAAUUUGGAGGUCAAAGUGUGGCCUGUUAGUCUCCUGGAAAACAGAUUAUGAUGAAGCCAACCAUUUUUUUAUAUUAUGCCACACUUGAAAUGCCAAUAAUUAUAUUCAGUAUGUUUGGAGAAAGAAGAAAGGCACACAUUUAUUUACCCACAACCACAGCUAAUUUACACAAGACCAAAAUCCAACGGAUUCCUGUACAAAACAUUAAUACACACUCAAUAAAUAUAACAAUACUAAACUAAAUCUUUUAAUCUUGAAGAUAUGAAUUAUUGAAAGAAAAUGAAUAUUUGAUAAUUACUGAAAAGUUAUAUGUUAGAUAAAAUACUUUAGUGAAUAAAUAUAAAUAUAACUAUUUAUAUUAAAUACAAGAUCUUGAACAAAUAAUAUAAACAAAUAUUUAUAUUCAUGUAAAAACACCAGAUCUAAACAAAACAAAUUAAAUAAAUAUUUAUAUUUAUUUAAAACAUCAUAUCUGAAAAAUAAUUAAAUAAACAAGAUCUUGAAAAAUCAGAAAUCGAAUAAGGGAAUCGAGUUUUACUAGAUGUUGAGGCCUGUUUUCACAGUUUCCAUAAGAUGGAUUCGGCAGUUCCUAGGGUACUUGGAGAAACGUUGGUCGUCUGUCUUCCAGGAUACAACAACAAAAUGAUCGUGGGAGUAGUGCUUCUGCAAUGAUCAAUGAACAAACCUUGCCUUUUUCUAUCACCGAACAUUUGAAAAUUUUGGAGAGAAAAGGAAAAGAAUUUUCGAGAGUGAAAUAAAUUCGUUGUGUAUCUCUAAAAAAUUCUGCAAUAUUCUUUAGGCUUUUUUAGGCAUUCAAUGUAGAGGAAUUUUGGAAAUUUCCAUGAAUAAAGAUACAAAUCUACAUUAAAGGAGCCUUUAAAUCAAUUUGAAUAAAAUAAAAUCAAAUUUGAUUGGAAUCAAAUUAAAACGAGAUAUUUGGCCUUUUAAAACAGAUUUUGUAUAAUAUUUGCUAAGAAAAAAAAAUACAUAUUGGGCUAACAUAUUCGCAGGCCUAAAAGGGCCCGAUCGGUCUAAACAUUUCGCGUUACCCAUGUCAUGCGAGUGCGUCCCCAACCCCGAUGGAUUUGGAUUUGCACCCCUUGAGCACAAGGGAGAGCAUUAGUUUACCAAUAACCAUUUAGUUGGUUUACAUAUAUAUACAAGUUCCACACUUGAUUCCUAAUCAAUGUGGGACUAAUGCUUUUUCAUUUUUUCUUAACAUAAUUCCCAAGUAGCUUACUUUAAGCAUCAAUUUCUCAUUCAUCACUCAACCAUUUUGAACAUAUGAUAUCCCAUUGUAAAGGUCUCAGGGGUAGAACAUUAAAUUAUAAUUUUAUGAUUCAAAACUCCUCAUUUACCAAUCAAAAAUAUGCCUCAAAGAUUUCAAAAAAAAAUCAUAUUUUUCCAACAAUGCCCCACAUGAAUGAAAUUGAUAAUUUUAACGAUAAGCAUUGACUGAAUGGGGUGAUAGAUUCUAUGAUUGAUAGUUGCAUAUGAUAGGUAGACAUCAACUCUUGUACCUUCCCUUGUGAAAGUAUAUUUACUUUACUAGCUAACCAAUAGACUCAAUGUCCUUGAACUAUUCUGCCGUUUGUGUAAAUAAUGAUAUACCUCACACAACUACCUUAUUGGCAAGGUCUUCGUUCUCAUGGGUAUGUUCAUAUGGCCAUGAACAUUUCUUGUGUAACACCCUUCGCCCGUAUCCCUCGUCGAAACAGGGUUCGAGGUGCUACCAGAUUUAAACUCAACCAUUUAUAUAAAACCAGUCCGUAAAAAUUUUUGAUCAAUUUUAAACUUUUCAUACACGCAUAUAUUAUCCUUUAAUCGGGCUUACAAGGCCCCAAAACAUUCAUGAGGCAUUAUUAAAUAUUUACCAAUAUCUUAGUCUUGUAUCAUUUACUUACUCAACAAUGAAUCACAAUUCAAAUUCUAAAUAUACAUGCUAUAAACCACAUCACAGGAGAUAAUAACAUACAAGCAUAUGAAUAAUCAAACUACCUUAAUAAUAAGCCAAAGUCUUUGGCUUAAUCAUAAUAUUACAUACUCAACUUUACAACCCUAUACAUGCCAUAGACUCAGAAUACUAAAAUUUACUUACGCCGAUAGCGUAAACUCGACAAUGUGAUAAUAUCUCUGACGGCCUCCAACCCGAGCUAACCUGGCAACCCUAGGGAAUAUGGGAAAGAAAAGGGGAGUAAGCUUUACGCUUAGUAAGUUCAUAAGAAAAUAAUAAGCAACUUAUUAACAAGUUUUAUCAAUGUUUACAACAUAAUCACAAAUUCACUACAAGUUGUCUUCUUGAGCAAUAGUCACUAAAUUAUUUAUAACUGGAGCUACGAAACUCCAAAUCAAUUGCCGUUAAUUUUCCCUGAAAAUAGACUAAUAUAUCUUCUAUCCAUAGAAUUUUCAGAAUUUUUUGUUUGGCCAAUCAAUACCAGAUUUUUCUUAAAGUUUUCUCUAUUUUACUGUUUGACUAAUCUGACCACUCUUCACUAUGAAUCAAAUUUCUCAUUGUACAGAAUUCAAAAUAUGUUCUCAUUGAUUUCAUUUGAAACUAGACUCAUUAAGGAGUCUAAGAAUAUAAAUUUUAUCUUAUAAAAUUUUUUGUACAAAUUAUAAUGAUUUUCUAAAAACAGAAUAAGGGACCCUAAAGUCAUUUGACUCUGUCCCACGCCACUUCAAAUAUCUCAUUAUUAGCAAUUCUUUUUCUUACAUGGUUUCUUUUAUAAGAAACUAUACUCAUUAAGCUUUAAUUACAUAAUUUAUUCAGCUUCUAACUCAACUCCCACAAUUUAUGUUGAUUUUCCAAAAUCACGUUACUGCUGCUGUCCCAAGCAGAUUUAUUACAAAUUUACUCUUUCACACAUUCUUUGCAUUCAUAUUAUUUAAACAUGUAUAUCACCAAUCAAUUUCAUCACAUAUCUAUAAUUUCACUUAAGCAUAAUCACAAUACAAUACAUCAUGCUCAAUGAUUCGCACACAACCGUUCAAAUUAGCAAUUAUAAGAUGGUUCCGCACAUAGCCCACCCUUAUCGAUAAUUUACGAUGGUUUUACCCUUACUCACAUAUAUGACAUAAGCAUUUAAAUACUUCAGUGUCUACUUUAAUUCAACCAAAUUCAACCAUUGUACCAUUUCAUAACCACAGUUACUUUCGUCAUUCAUAUCUAAAUGGUAUUUCACAUAAUUCAUAUAACCUUUCACCAUGACCGAAUACACACAUACACAUAUGACAUCUUCACCUAUGCUUCUCAUUUCACAUUCGUGAUUCAAUUCCAAUCGAUCUAACAUGUAUAAGUAUAUAUCACAUACCUGGCCAACUUAAUGUAUUGAACGAAUUCAAUUGCCGAUUUAACACAAGGUCUCAUAGUCUUAGACUUUUAUCAAAUCACCGGCAUUUAGCCUGCUAGGUUUUAAACCCGAAUUCAUCACCGGCACGAAGCCUGCUAGAAUUUAAGUCUGAACUCAUUCACCAGCAUUUCGCCUGCUAGGCUUGAAGCCCGAUAUCAUUUCACCGACAUUAUAGCCUGCUAGGCUCGAAGCCCGAUAUUAUCUCACCGGUAUUAUAGCCUGCUAGGCCCAAAGCCCGAUAUUAUCUCACCGGCAUUAUAGCCUGCUAGGCCCGAAGCCCGAAUAUCACAUUUCGAUAAACAAUUCACCUGUUCUUUCAUACUUUCAUAACUUAUACUUCAAUUACGUAUAACUGAAAUACAUAUCUAUGAACAAAGAUUUUCAUCCUCUCAACCACAUAGGGUUUAAUUUCCACAUUGGAACACAUAUCUUAGUACAUCAUUUAAUAGUAUCAAAAUCGACUAGAUAUGCUAGUCACAUACGGCUCAUAACUUUAAUUUAAUAUUCAUUCAAUACAAAGAACAUAUGUAUAUAUAUAUACAAUCAAACAUCUUCUUAAUUAUGAUUAUUCAACUCUUAAGCAUAUAACAUGAUCAAACACAAACACUUAAGAACUUACAUUGGAUUUUAUCGAAUAACUACAGAUUGACUAAUCGACUAGUUUUGCUUUCCCUUUAUCCAAAAUUGGCUCCUUAUGCUCUUGAGCUUGAUUAACAAAUUCAACUUAUCACAUCUCUAUUAUUUAAAACCACAUUUGGCAAUUUAUAAAAUACCAUAAUUAUCACAUCUCAUUCAUCCAAAAUCACAUUCGACACAUAAAAAAAAACAUUGAUAAGUCUCAAAACACAAACAACACUUAUCAAAUUCAUGUAAUUUACACACUUCACAUGGCACUACUACACUCAUUAACCUUACUUUCAUACAACCACUCUUCUUUGACCGAAUGCUAUAACAUCAAGUGCACAUGCUGUUCAUAUAGCCGAAUAUCACUUAACUAAUUAAUUAAAAAUCUUUUAAUACUUAAUUCCACAAGUCCAUUCGGCAUUAGCUCAUCCAACUCAUAUUUUUCAUUGACAACCUCUAUAACUACAAUUUAUUCACAUCCUUAUUCAUGCUACAUUCGGCCAUUAUAAAUAAAAAAAAAUAUAUAAAUAAUUACACAAUGAUCACUUUAGUCGAUUAUAAAAUUCUCAAUUAAAUCACAUAUAUCAUUUACCAGCUCAAACUCCUCCUUUACCUCAUUUCUCUCUUUAAUUCAUAUUCGGCAAUCUUUCUAACCGCUUAAACGAUUAUAGCACAAGGACAUUUUCAAUUCAAUCAAAGAUGAUCUGACAUUUACAAUUUGCAAAUGGUAAUUUCAUUCUAUUUAUCUCAAUUUACUAACAAACCCAACCUUGCAUGGAUUUAAGCACAUUCGGCCAUUAUUUAACAACAAUUCAUUCACAUCAUAAUUCAUGUUCAUAUUCGGUCAUCUAUACCCAUACUAACCGUAUAACUAUUAAAUUCCAAAUUUAAACACAAGUAUAACAUUUUAACACAAUGGCCGAACACUUCAUGAAGUUACCAAAACUCAUCAUUUGCUAUUUCACACACACUCACAUCCAAUCCUUUUUAUUAAACACUCAAAAUCAACCAUCUUCAUGCCUCAUCACAAAAACAUCAAAACACCAACCAAGAAAUACAACAUCCAUGGCCGAAUAUCAUCUCCAUCAAAUAGCAAAAUUUGAACCAUGGGCUAGGUAGAAUUCAAACUAACAACUUAAAAUAAUCAUGAAUUUCAAAGAAUAAUAUCAAUCAUACCUCAAUCUAGUUACAAGCAUAGCCGAACUUCUUAGAAACUUUUCCUUUUCUCUUUUACUUGGUUUUUUAGCUAAGGAAGAACAAAGAUGAACAAACUUUGUUCUUUUCACCCCUUUUUUAUUUCAUAUUAUAAAACAUUUAGUAAUUAUAUUUCUUAUAUAUAUAAAAUGCAUAUAUUACAAAUCAUCAUCAUCAUGGCCGGCCACUAACUUUAAAUUGGACAAUUUGACAUGCAAGUCCUCCCUUUUAAUAAGCCAUGCAUUAUUCGGUCACCUUAUUUCUUCCUAACACAUUCUUCAAGUUUAUCACAUAAGUCAUUUUUCAUAAUUUCACAUUCAAAUGACAAAAUUUAGACAUGAUACUUUCACACAUGAUACUUCACAUAUAAUAAACAUAGAAAAGAGCAUUUAAAUAAUUUUGUGACUUAGUUUUGUGGUCCCGAAACCACUUCCCGACUAGGGUCAAAUUAGAGCUGUCACAUCUUGGUUCUGCAAGAGUUUGAGAGAUGAUCUCCUCGAAGGGGCCCCACUUCGCUCUCACUUAGGUGACUUAUGUUACUCGGCUCUCCGAAACACACAAUCGUCAUUAAGAGCUUUGCUUAACCUAUCUCACUUUAAAUCACUAUUUAUAUCAUAGGAACAGACUUGGAAUAAGAACCCUCAUAGUGACCUCACAAGGCCUAUGCAAUUAGGUUGUCCCUUUGAACCUAGAUCUUGGGAUUCUAGUCAACUAGGUUGGGUUUUCCUUCACAUAGCACCUUUAAUUUCCAUGGACUUUAGUCCCAUUCCUUUCGAUGUUUUAUUAACCUGAUCUCAAUUUAAGCAUUUAGUUAGCAGAUCCACAAUGUUAUCUUUUGAUUUUACACAAUCUAGGCUAACUCGAUGCUCCUUCAACCAAUCCAUGCAAAAAAUAAGAUUGAAUUCACCGAAUGGAAGCUCCAUCAAGUCAGCUGGAAACAACUCUCCCUAAAUUUCUAAAAGAUAUCUCCUAAAAAUUUUAUUCACAUACACAAAUUGUCCUGGGGGACUGAGUAUAGUUAUGUCGCUAGCAUUGUUUUCCACCAGAACUCCGAAUUUGUCAGUCAUAGAGCAGGCAAUAUGAGAGUGAGUUGAUCCUACAUCUACCAAAGCAAAGUAUUGUACAAAAUUUUUUUGUAAAAGUACUUGUGUUAACAUUAGCUGCAUUACCGUUCUCCUGGUGCCUCGCUGUAUAAACCAAGGUGAGCUAUUUAGCAUUAAUGCAGUUCGCACCUUGACUAGUUGUCCUCUGCUUAGUAUUACCAUUUCUGUUUUUACUACACCCCCUUAGAUUCUGAUUCGAUUGGGGUUGCGGUGCUUACCUCUUACCCCUUAUUAGUGGACAAUCCUUAAUCUGUUGCUCCAUGGCCCCACACCUUGAGCAUACUCUCUUGCUUUGUCAACACUUGUAACACCCCUAACCCAUAUCCGUCGCCGAAAUAGGUUAUGAGGCAUUACCGGAUAAUACAUCACAUUCUCAUACAUUUAUGCAUUCAAUAUUAUAAACCAUUCACAAACAUUCACAUUGUCCUUUAAAAGGUUUUACGAGACCUUAAAUCAUGCUUAAAAGUGGUUCGGGACUAAACCGAUCACCUAUAAAAAUUUUCGAACACUUAGAAAAAUUUCAUGAAAUCAAAGGUCACAUGCCUGUGUGCAUAAGCCGUGUGCCUCACACGGCUACCAGACACGCCUGUGUCACAGGCCAUGUGAAAAUAGGGCAUACAUACUGACUUAUACCACACGGCCGAGGACAUGCCCGUGUGCUAGACCGUGUGAAAUUUAAGGGAGGUUAUUGAAUUAGGUCACAUGGCCAACCUCACACCCAUAUGCCAGCCCGUGUUCUACACAUGGCCAGUAGACAUGCCCGUGUGUCUAGGCCAUGUCAAAACUGUAUAGGCAGCCAAACCUAAACCACAUCAAAUUGCAUCAUUUCUAAACAUAUAUAGGCAGCCAAAACAUGCCAAUUCACACACAUACCAUGCUAUUUAUCCACAAUCAUUUCAACUACUCAAUUCCAUAUUCAAACAAACCAAACCAUUAUGCAAAAUUCAUCACAACAUACAUAAGUUCCAAAUACAUUAACUCAUUAUCUUAUCAUCUAUUCCAUAUCACAUAACACAUAACACAUUAUAAUAUCAUCUCAAAAUCAAACCACAUUAUGUCAACUUUUAAGCCAUAUUUCUUCAUCUAUAAACUAUACCAAACAAGCCAACACAUUAGGCAUUAUAAACAUCAUCUAUAUAUCACUUGACAAGCACAUAAUUCAAACCAACUUACAUGGUCAUAUACCAACAUUCACAAGCCAAAUCUCAUGGCUAAAAUCACAACUCAAAACAUAUCAAGAUGAUAAUAGCCUAUACAUGCCAUAUACCAUAUAUACAAAGCUUCUAAAAAUACCAACGAGAUGAUCGAUAGUGCGAUGACGUAUUCCUGAUGAUCCCCGAGUUCGAGCUAGCUUCGAUGAUCUAUAACAACAAGGAAAGAACACAUAAAGUAAGCUUUAAAAGCUUAAUAAGUCAUAUACAAAUAAAAUCAUCAUAUUAAUCACAAAAUUUCCAUUAUUAAGCCAAGUACAAUAUACACAUAUAGAUAUACAAACCUUUCUCAAUAAAAACAUAUUCAUUUUCUCAUGUAAACUCAACAACUACUUUAGUUUCCAAAUCUCAUAUAAAUCUCGUAUAUACCAGAGUCGUUUAACUUAUUAACACAUUCUUUCUCGACUUGUCUUUGCCCACUGAACCAUUCGGAAUUAUUAAGGAUACUCCAAAAUCAUAUAAGCUUGUACAAUGCCAUAUCCCAGAUAUGGUCUUACAUGUUAUCACAUAUCGAUGCCACUAUCUCAGAGAGGGUUUACACGAAAUCGAUUAACGACGCCAACGUCCCAGACAUGGUCUUACACAUAAUCUCAAUACAAUGCCAAUAUCCCAGACAUGGUCUUACUUAUAAUCACAUCUCAAUAACCUAAUGUCAUGACAUUUGUAUCCUAUUCUAUUCCUAAGGUUCGUACGGGACUUUCAGGUAUCUCAAAUCUGUCGAUUCUUGCUCGUAAUUACUUGUUCAACAUUCAUAACAAUUCAAUCAUAAAUAAACAUAUAUAAUUCAAUGUAAAUACAUUUAUUUGAAUAUGUACUUACCUUGUAGUCGAAAUAGAUGAAUUUGAUCGAUUACUUGAUAACUUUCGAUUUCCCUCAAUCUAAAUCUGAUUUCAUUCUUUCAGGAUCUAUAAAAAUUCAAAAUUAACUCUUUUAUUCCUAAAUUCAUUCAAAUUCAUCCAAAGCACAUAAUUUGGGGCAUUUUACACAUUAACCCCUAUAAUUUCACAUUUCUUACAAUUUAGUCCUUAUUUCACAAAAUCACAAAUUACAAAAUUUCUUUCUAAUUUCAUGCUAGCCGAAUUUCAUAUAGCUUCAUAUCAUCCCAUAUUUUCAUUUAUUUCACACUUUUGACCACACAUUUUACACUUUUCACAAAUUAGUCCUUUUUAAGCAAUUUCACUAAAAAUAACUUUACAAAACAUGAUAAUCUAUAAACAAUUACUCAUUUUCCAUCAUCAAACAUUUAAGAAAUCAAACAUUCAUGAAUGGAAAUUUACAAAAUCACCAAAAAAUUCAGAAAUUAGCGUACGGGCUAGCUAGUACUCAAAGCAACGAUAAAAAAAAUGUAAAAAUCAUCAAAAACUAAGCAAAAAACAUACCUCAAUCAAGAUGAACUAUGGAAGAAACCUUAAAGGUCCCAAAACUCUUAUUUUCUUUUGUUUUUUGGUUGGAAUGAAAAAUAUGAACAAAAUUUUAACUUUGUUUUUAUUAAAUUAUGCUUUAUUUAACUAAUUACCAAAAUGUCCUUAUUUAAUAUCAUUUAAAAUCACAUGAUGGAUGGCUAUUCAUGUCAAUAUCCACUAUCAAUGGUCUAAUUACAACAUAAGGACCUUUCAUUUAAUAAGCCAUAGCAAUUAGACACCUUUAUCAAUUAGAUUGCAACUUUUUCAUUUUACGCGAUUAAGUCAUUUUUCUCAAAUUGAGCUAUUAAACGAUAAAAUUAACACAUGAAACUUUCACACAUACUUAUUCACACGCUGUAAACACAUAAAAUAAUAUUAAAAUAAUUUUAUGACCUCGUAUUUGUGGUUCUAAAGCCAUUGUUCCGAUUUAAGCUAAAACUGGGCUGUUACAACACUCCCCACCAUGAGACUUCCCACAGUGAGCAUAAUUGCGACUCUGAUUUCUAUUACUUGCAAUAGCAGGGUACUGACGUGGUCUAUCUUCACGGACCCUCUUCACUGGGCAUGGAUUAGAAUUUCUCAGACUAGAAUCUCUCUUCACUAGAGUCUUGGUCUUAUCUCUUGUAUCUUGCUUAGCCUCUUUCACCUUUUCAAGGAUCUUCACCUUCUCUACUAAAGUUUCGAAGACUCUCUCCUGCAACAUGAAAAAUUGGGCCUUGAGAUCAUACCUCAGCCCAUUCUCAAAUCUAACAUGCUUUUCCUACUCUGAAGCUUCCAUCCCUUGUGCAUACCGGUUCAAUCUCAAGAACUUAGCCUCAUACUCGGAUAUGGUUCGGUCUCUUUGCUUUAAUUUAAUAAAAUCAAGUUUCCGAGCUUCAACAUACCUCGAGCUCACAUAUUUCUUAUAAAAGGCAGUUUGGACAUAAUCCCAAGUUAUCUUCUUUUGUUGGUUACCUUCCAUGAUAGAUUGCCACCAACAAUAUGCCUCAUCUCUCAAAAGAGACACUGUACACUAAAGUUUAUGUUUUAGGGUACAGUAAAAAUGAUCUAAGAUCCUCUCAAUAGAUGCCAUCUAGUACUCAGGUACCGUAAGGGUUGUCCCAGAAACUCCUCUAAAUACUUCAGCUUUAUUCAACUGAAGCCUCUCAGUAAUAGACUUACGACUUUUAGUUCCUAAUUGGCCUCUAACAACCUGCUAUAAAAUCCUCAAUAGUGUUUGGGAAAUUGUACCAUCUAUAGAUUCAUGAUUUUCCUCCUCAUUAACAAAUUCCUCAGGCACAUUACUCACAAUUUCCAUAACAGGAUCAUCCUCGUUGACACUGAGGUUCGGUGUAGGCAAUCGAGCAGUGAAUGACUCUUUUUAGCCAUACAGUGAUGUGCACCACGAGUUCUAACCCUUUGAUUAUUCAUAGUACUUAAAAUUUAUGAAUUAUCUAACAAUUACAAAUGGAAAUUCUACAUUAUCACUUGAAUUUUUUUUAUCAGAGUCUUUACUAUUGAAAAAAAUACUAUCUAAAAUAUCAUAAUCUAAAGUAAGGAGACUUAUCUUGAUCAGCUUCGGAAGUCCCAAAUUUUUAAUUUUUUGGGGUUUAAAAAUCUUAAAUUCAAUAGAAAGAAAGGUUUUCCAAAAAUUCCUUUAAAAUAUUCGUGCAAACCCAUUAAAAUACACAAUUUGAGUUUUGGAUCGGGCUUUGAUAGCAUUAAACGGAACUCCUAAAACCUCACCUAGACGUUAUGGUUGAAUCUUAAAAAUUAUGUUAAACGAUGUACAAAAUUAUUUGUUUACUUGAAAAUAAAGGUUUUGAGUUUGAAACGUAAAAUUUCUAAGAUUGACUAAUUUUAUUUCUUUGAAAAAUAUUUAAUAAAAUUAUUUAUUUUUAAAAGAAAACGUCACUUAAUUGUAAUGUUGUUCACCUAAGACUAUUUAUGAAUUUAGUAAGAAAAAUUGGAUUUUUCAACCUAACGACAAACUCAACUCAACAAUCGUUAUUUCAUACUCAAGACUUUGUUUUUGAAACUUAACACUAUUUUCUCAUUUAACUGAUAUGUUACAAGAUAUGUCAAAAUUACAAUUUCAAAUCAACGAGUGAGAUGUAGCUAAAAUAUUUUUCGCUGUGACUGUUUUGAAACAUGAUGUUUUCUGGAAACCUUCGAAAACUAGAGUUUUCUAAAGAUAAUCGAUUUUGAAAAAUUCUCUCAAAAAGAAAACUUGCAGGUAUUGCUCAGUUUUUCUCAAGAAAAUUAAAAUGAUGAUUUUUUAGUAACAACAUUAUUCGACAGAAAUAGUUAAAUGAUUUUUCAUGCGAUUACCAUGGCCAAUGUGAUCUUCGAGAUUCGGCCAUAACGUCUAGGUCGGGUUUAGAGUGUUACAGUUUCUUAUAGGAUCAAACUCUUGAAUUAUGAUUAAAGAAUAGAAAAAAGAAGGAUAACAAAUAAAGUGAUAAAAGGGAUAUAACUUUCAAACUUGAAACAAACUUAGAAAUUAACCUACGUUAUAUAACAACGAGACUUAAUUUUUAUACAGUUGUUGAAAACUUAAAAAGUUUGGGAAACGAAGAAGAAUUGUGACCCACUAUCUAUACAGAGAUAGGAACCAAUGGUAUAGGGGUGAUCGCCACACUUCGAAAAUAGGUGAGAGGGGAAGUGAUAAGAUUGAAGGUAGUAAACGCCACAAGAAAACAAUUCUUGAUAAGUUCAUUUUUUAAGUUGUUAAAGAACAAAAAAGAUUUAACUCAAAUAUAUAAAAUGUUCAUUAGCCUUGGAAUGUCUACAAUCAAAACUAUUUAUAGGAAAACUACUAAGUUAGAUGAAUGGAAAAAUUUUGGCCAAUAAUAAUUACAUGCAUCAAACCCAUUAAUGAACCAAAGGAGUUCAUGUAUUUCUUCAUACAUUAAAUGAAUAAAAAGGCUUAUGCUUCCCUCCUUAACGUGCAUGCAUCUAAUUGUUCAAUGUAUAUGUAUAUGUGAAUGGUCACAUUCUCUUCCCCCUUGCCGUCCAUGCAUCUACUAGUUUUCAUUCAUGCAUUUACAAGGUUCAACGUAUGCUACAUAAGUCGCAUACAUUCCCCUUAAUCAUACAUGCAUCUUGGUAUUCAUUGAAUCGGCCAAUAUUAAAAAAAAAGUCCCCCAUUGAUGACGCAUGUCUAUGGAGUUUCUUCCCUUUUUGCCAAUGUAUCUUUUUAGUUCAAUGUGUUGCAUUUAAUCUAUUCAUCCUCCCUUGGUCGUACGUGAAUUUAGAGAAGGUGGUGAAAAUCCACAAGGUACAUGUGUGGUAUAAAUAUAGCUAGCUAAUGUACCUAAAUCACAUAUAAAUAGCAACAUAAGAUCAUUUCAACACAAGAAAAAAUACAGGACAUGACAUAAACAUAGAUUAUCACAUAUCUUAACAUACAAAAUAAGAACAAUAGACACAUGAAAAAUGAACAAAAGACAUAAACACUUAAGCUCAAAACACGCAUAAGCAUUAUUAAAACAUAAAAAUAUAAGACACAAAAAAAAUAAAACAUCCAUAAUAGAAAUUAAGUCAGAAACUGAAGUUCUACUACUAAGUGGCUGAAAAAUAUGGCCGGAAUAACCACUUCAAAGAGGUUGCAUUUUAGCUUGUAUUUGGGCUCCUCACGUUUGGACCAAUCUUCAUGUUUGGACCCAACUUGCAUUAUGGGUGUAAAAACCCAAUUUAGCCCUUUAAUUUGUGGCCCAAUAAAGAAGCAAAAUUGAGUCUUAGCCCAAUCAAAGGCCCACGUGGUUAGGCUUACAUCAAAUAGGAAAGAAUAAUCAUAAAGCAUGUACAAAACAUAAGUUAAAUAGAAAUAUAGGCAUAGGUACUGAACUAUGUACAAGGUUUGCCAUACUUGUGCGAAGCCUGGUUCACAAAAACUUAAUGUCAGCUAACUUAAGAAAAACUUAUGUUUUCAGAAACAUAAUCUUAUUCAAUUGUUUGUUCCGUUUGGAUAAGUGAAUCUCAUUAUAAUGCCUUAGAAUGACUCAACGAGUCCUUAUCAUAAGUGCAGAACAAUGCUAAAUACUCCAACAUGUCUUAUUGAAUGGAGCUUAGCUCGAUAUUCCCUUAUCUUUCUAUCCUGUCCCAGGGCUCAAUGCCCAAAACAUAAAACAUAAAGGUGAGUACUCACCAUCCUAUGGCAUGCCAUUAUAUCCAACUGUAACAACUUGUUUUUGGUUAAAUUAGAAUAGUGGUUUCAGGACCAAAAAUUUGAAGUUGAAAUAAUUAUUUUAUUAUUUUAAUCUUUACAGCAUGAUAGUGUGUUUGUGUGGAAGUUUCGUUUAGAAAUUUUAUCGUUUGAGUGUUUAAUUCGAUAAAAAGGACUAAAUUGCGUAAAGUGCAAAACUUUAGUUCUAUUAAUAAAGGUAUCUAAUAGCUAUGGUUUAUUAAAUUGAAGGUCCUUAAGUGGUAAAUAGACCAUUGUUUAAUUGAAUGGACAUUUAUGUGCAUGGUUAGAUGAAUUUUAAAGGUUAAUAUUCAAGGUUAAUAUAGUAAAUUGGUAAAUAUAUGUUAGUAAAAUAAUAAAGAAACAAAUGGUCAUCUUCCUAAGUGUUUAACCAUCGAAAAUUAACCUUAAAAACUCCAUGGAAAGGGUUUGAAGCAUUCUGCCAUAGCUAUCCAUGCAUGUAAGUGUUUUAUUGCUUGAUUUUUAAUGUUUUCUAUGUUUUUGAUAUCGUUGCAGCUUAGUCUAGCUAGCCCAGGGACUAUUCUGCAAAAUUGUUAAAGGUUUAGGAUGUUUCCAUUGACGAAUGAGCAUGUAUUUUAGUGAUUGAUGAUAGAUUAUGAAUGUUUGAUGAUAGUUACACAGGUUUUGUUAAGUGAUUUUUGGUGAAAAUGUAAAUUAGGGAUUAAAUUGAGAAAUGUGGAAAGUUUGUGGGUAAAUUUUAAAAUAAAUAAAAAUUAUGGGCUGAUAUGUGUACUAGAAAAAUUCGGCUAGCAUGGGUUGGUAUCAAAUUGCAUUAAUUUGUGAUUUUAUGAAAUAAGGACUAAAUUGUAAAAGUUGUGAAAUACUUGGGGAAAAAGUGAAAAUGUGCUCUAAUGAGUGUUUUUGGAUUAAAUUGAAUAGAGCUAUAAUUAAAUAAGCUAAAUUUGAUUACAUAUAGAUCAAGAAAAGUGAAAUUCGGAUUUAGAUUGGGGAAAGACAAAGUACUCGACUAAUCGACCUAUUUCAUCGUUUUUGUGAACUGAGGUAAGUUUGUAUGAUUAAUAAGCUUAAUGUUAUAUGUGUUUAUAUGCUUAGAUAUUAUAAUUGUGAUAUUACGACACUAUGGAAUCUAUCGACAAAGCAUUGACACAGUGAGAAUCCUGGUUGAACCUAAGGAAUAAAUAGGACACUAGUGACAUGUCAUUAGGGAUUAUUAUGAUUAUGUGAUCUGGGUACUGGUCCUGUACAUCCUACCGGUGGCUGAGUAUACCAUCAUGGGUUACGGUAACUUGACAGCUUGUGCAAGCAAAAUUGUGUAGCUACAUCUUGACUAACAGCUUGUAUGAGUAGGCCCGUUGAUAGGUCGAGAGUGAGCAAAUAUGUGAUAUGAGAUUGAUAUAGUAUUGGCUAUGUAUGUGGCACUUUGGUGUGAGAUUGCUGAGUAUCUGAUAUUAUUCUGAAUGGUUCAACGGGAAAAGAUGAUAGUACGAGAAUGUAAGCAAUGAUACGGAUCAUUUCAGGUACUCGUGAAAAGUUUGGCAAGCAAGUGAUAAUUGAUAAGUUUAUUCGAAAUGUAAGUGAAAUUUGAUGAAUUUAUACGUGAUACAUAGAAUUAUGGCAAUGUGUAAAUUUUUGAUUUGAAUGAAAUACUUAUGUUACUCAUGUUCUUUAAAUGGUGAAUAAAUAGGCAAAUUAUACUUAUUAAUCAUAUGAGCUUACUAAGCUAUAAAGCUUACUCUGUUUAUUUUUUCGUGUUUUAUAGUGAUUUCAAAGCUAGCUCAGAUUCGGGGAUUGUUGGAGACCUUAUCACACUAUCAAACUAUCAUUUUGGUACUUUUGAAUCUAUUUUUUUGGAAUAUAUUGCAUGUAUAGGAACUUUGGUCACUCUGGUUUAUGAGUUGAUGAUGAAUUUAGCAAUUAGAAUUGGCUUGUAAAUGUCUAAAUUUUGGUCUUGUAUAUAGCCAUGAAAGUUGGCUUAUUUGGUUGGUUUGGUUAUGUAUAUAUAUUUAUGUGUGCAUAUGGCUUAUGUUUUGUGAUUGAGGUUGGCUUUGUGAUGCUUAUUGUUAGUAGGUAUUGUGGUUGUCAAAUGGUUGAUAUUAGAGAAAAUAUAUGCUUGUAAAUUUAAGCAUAAUGAUGCAUGUUUGGAAAUGUUUACUUAGUUGAAUUGUAUAUGUGAAUUAGGUAUAAUGUAAUGACCCAUUUUAUGACUUGUGUAGAUUGUGGAUAACUGAAUUGAGUUGGCAUGAUUUAGGCUUUAUUUAGUUGGUUUGAAUGCCUAUAUAUGCUAAGUUUUGGUGUCAUUUGGUUUGGUGUAGGUGCAUACAAAUUUGGGUAGCAAAAUGGCUUGGUAAAUAGCCUAUUUUUGUCCACACGGGCAAAGACAUGGGCAUGUGUCUCAGUCGUGUAUGAUACACGGUCAGGUUGCACGGCCUUGUGUCCCUUGGUGUUGAAUUAAAAACCAAGUCAGUAUGCUCCACACGGCCUAGCACACAGUGUGUGAUUGGCCGUGUGGCUUAAGUCAGUAUACCCUACAGAUUGGAACGACCUAGCACACGGCCUAGCACACGGGCAUAUGUGGCCAUUUUUUUGGGCAUAUGGGCUAGUCACACGGGUGUGUGUGUUGGCUGUGUGACCCAAGUUAGAGAGUUACACAGGGUCGGACACAGGCUAGGACACGGCCAUGUGCUCCAAUUUCAAAUGUCCACAUGGCCUGUGACACUGGCGUGUCUUUGGCCGUGUGAGACACACGGCCGGGCCACACGGUAUGUGUCCCCUAUUUUUGGAAAUUUUUUUUAAGUGUUUGAGAAGUUUCUAAAGUUAUCGGUUUAGUCCUGAACCACUCUGAAUGCAUAUUUUGGGCCUCAUAGGCUCGUAUUAGGGACGAUAUGAAUGUUGUUGAUUGAUGACUAUAUGAAAUUUGAAAAUGUAUGUAAAAUGUAUGUGUGAUUGUAUGAUAUGUUCAGUAAUGCUCCGUAACCCUAUUUUAAUUGUAUGAUAUGUCCGGUAAUGCUCCGUAACCCUAUUUUGGCAUUGAAUACGGGUGAAGGGUGUUACACCUACAGAUUCAGAAGGUUACCUUGUCAAAUCAUUUACUUAACAUAGAGUUUGCAAAGCACGAAGUCAUAUGGAGCUCACCAUAUAGAGCUAACAUAUCACUGUUCAUAAAAAUACAUAUUUGAAUACAUUCAUCAAACAAAGUUAUAGAAAAGACUUACUCUCAAAAAUUAGGUCAAAACCCUAAGCUCCUAAUUAACAUUAUGAUCCACAAUACAAGUGGCGAUGCUUGAACACUCACCAAUUUGCUGAGAACUUAGGGAAGCUUAGCUUUUCCCUUAUCUCUACUUGUAGACAGUUUUGUUUGGGUUCGCAAUUGUAACAUCCUGAAGUAGAGCUGAGAAUUAUUAAGCCAGAUGAGCUGGGUUCGCCAAGGAGUUUGGCAAACAGGAAAUUGCCCAAGAGUGUGACGAAUAGGUACUCGUCAAUAAGAUCAUUGAAUAAGGGUUUGCCAGAGGAAAUGAUAAGCAUGUAUACGACAUUAGAUUUGCGAAUAGGUGUGUAAGAACCCAUUUUUCAGUGGUUUUUGACGAGUAAGGUUGUAAAAUUAGUAUUUAAAUUAUACGAGUCAAUAAUAAUUUUUAUAUUGAAUUUUUAUUUAUUGAAUUUUAAUCAGUUGAAUUAAUUGUUAGUAUAAGGGGUUCAGUCCAAAAUCAAGUGGUUUUUGAAAAUGAGGUAUUGGGACCCAUGUCCGUAACUUAAACUUGUAAAUAUUUUUAUUAAAUGUUUAUAGAGUCGUAUUAUAGGGGAAUUGAGGUUUGGUCCAAUAAUUUUGACAAUUGGUUCUUAAUUAAGGUAAAAGGAUUAAAUUGUAAAAUGGUAAAAGUUAAUCGCUAUAGAUUUAAAUUAGUAAAGAGACCAAAAUCAUGAUUAAACCAUGAUAAAAAAAGUCCAAGAAGUGGUGGAUAUGAUUAAUCCACUAGCUUUUAGGCUAUUUGCUCGUUUAGUCCUAAGUAGUUUAGGGUUAAAUUGAAAUUAAGCUUGUUUAGUUAAAAUUGUAAAAUAAUUGAAGGACCAAUUAUGCAGUUAAACCCCUUUAGAUGGUAAUUAUACCAUAUUCUCAUUUGAUGGACAAAUAUGGACAUGUUUUAUUUAUUUUUAUAAGUCAUAAUGUAAAGGUUAAAAUUGUAAAUUAAGUAAAUAAAAGGUUAAAUUAAAAGAAUACUAAAUUAGGUUAUCAUCUUCCAUUCUUUUCUUAUGGAAAAAAAAUGGCCAUUUUUAUGGGAGAAGAAAGUUUUGGUCAAGCUAGGGUUAUGGUAUGUAAGUGAUCCUUUAUCUUGUUUUUAGUAAUUUUAUGUUUUUGAGCUCGUAUUAGCUUGAUUUAGCUAACCUGGAGAAUAAUUUGUAAAACUGUUAAAUGUUAUAGAUAUUCCAUUGAUGAGUUUGAGUUGUUCUUGAAGUUUUAUGGUAGAUUAUUAAGCUUGGUUGUUAAAUAGGAUUAUUUUGUAAAGUAGUUUUUAGUAAUUUUAAUGUUUAAGGACUAAAAUGUUACAGUGAUAAAAUUACAAGGAAUUGAUGUGAAAUAACAGAAAAUAUGUGUUGUCGUAGAGUGCUAUACAAUUCAACUGAACUUAGUUUUAGUUAAAAUUGGUUAAAUUGCAAGUUUUGAGCUUAGCGACUAAAUUGCAUAAAAGUAAAAUGUUGGGGGUGAUUUUGUAAAAUUGUCUAAGAAGGCUUAAUUACAUAAAAUGAGUUAAUUUCACUAUUGGAAUUAGUUAAUUGAUUGAAAUUAUUUAUCUAGAUCAAGAAUGGGUUGAAAAUCGAGGCAUAGAAAAGUUGAAUAGUCUUUGUACCUUUGUCAUCGUUGUAGUUUAGUCUGGUAAGUUCGUUUGGUUCGAUUUUAAUACAUUUUAAAUGUAUAUUAUAUGAACUUAAUUGUACAAUGAUGGAUAAUACUUAUGCAUGUAUUUGGGAAUGAAAGUAAUGAAUUGAUACGGUAUCGAUCACUGAUUGGAAUAUUCUGAGCCGAUGAAUAUAGGAUAGAGUAAGAUUGGCAUGCCAAUAGGUUGUUUUGCGUAUUGGACGAGAUUGGUAUGAGAUGUGAUGGUGAUUUUUGUAUAUCCUCUAUUCAUUGAAUAUACUGAGGUCCUGCAUACGUUGUAGAUUAUCUUGUUUUAUUAGAAUGUUUUUCUAGUGUGUUAUAGGGGCAGAUGUUAGCCUACGGGCUAGACACUUAGUGCCGAGGUGUAUUAUUGAUUGGAUUGGCUCGUAUGAGUGUCUGGUGUGUUCUGGAUGGUUAAACGUGUACUCCUAUCCAUAUAACAUUCACCGAGCAAUGUUUUAUUGAUCAUUGAGUGUUAUUUAAAUGUGAAAUUGAUUUGUAUUAUUGUUUGAACAUUACUCACUUGUUUUGAGUUAUGAUUGACAGGAACUCUAUUAGUAACCUUGUUAUUUGAAUUAUUAUUUUAAUUCAAUAAACUUUAUUAUUUAAUCUAUGAACUUACUAAGCUUUAUGUAAGCUUACUCCUGUCCUUGUCUUUUUCUUUGUAGAUUAUAUUUUUUUUUGAAAAUCAGGAGAUCGAAUCAACUCGAAGAAUCACACUAUUCGAGAACCUUUUGGUAUACUUUGAGUGUGACCUUGGCUUAUAGGCAUGUAAUAGGCUAAUGGUGGAUGUUUUGUGAUAGUCUUAAGCAUAUAUGUGGUAGCUUGAUGUACUUGUAAUAUUGUUGUGUCAAGUAGCUAUUUGCGGCAUGUAUGCUUAAUUCUAGUGAAGGCAUGAGUGGUUGAUGCUAAUCAAGCAUGAAUUGGUAAGUUAUUUUAUUUGAUGUGGUAUGCAUGGAUGGCUUGAAAUUUUACCUUGAUAAUUUUUUAUUAUGUGAUUGAAAUAUUGUGUCAAUGGUGGCACAUUGGUUAGACACAUAGGAUGGUCGAUUAACUUGAUUUGAGUGGUUUAAAAUGCAUUCCAAAUUCUUAUGAACAUGUGUGUAAGUGUAUAAUUAGGCACCUAAGCAAUUGGAUGUGAAAUGGGCAAGUUUUGGGUUAUUUUUGGCACACAUGGGUUAGGAUACGGGCUAUCACACUGUCGUGUGUAACACACGAGUGUAUGCCCCAAACGUGUUAGGUGUAGGGUUCACACAAGCUGACACAUGACCUGCGACACGGCUGUGUAACCCAAGUCAAUGAGUUACAUGGGUGGACACAUGAGUGAGCACACGGGCAUGUGGGAUAGCCAGAUGGCCCUGGUUGGAGCCACACAAUCUGGGCUAUAACAGCCCAUUUUUCUGUAAAAUCGUAACAGUGGUUUUGAGACCACAAAUCUGAUCCGAAAAUAAAGUUGAUUUUUAUUUUAUAAUAUGGUCUGUUUUAUGAUAGACAUGUUGUGUGAAAAUUUUGAUUCGAAAAUUUUAUCGAUUAAGUGUUUAAUUACGAGGACUAAAUCGCAUAAAUGAAAAAGUUGAAUUCUAGUAGCUGUAAGGAUUAAAUAGCUAUGGAAUUCAAAACUAGAGGUCCUUAUAUGGUAAUUAGACCAUUGAAGAAAACUAUGUUGUUUUUUGGUGUCUCAUCCAUGGAAAAAUUAGAAAAGAAUAGGGACUAAAUUGGAAAUUAAAAUAUUUAAUUAAUUAAAAAGAUGAUAAAAGAUACCAUCUUAUUAUUUUUGUCAUCUUCAACCCCAAAAUUAUAUGGAAACCCUAGGAGAGAGAGAAGAAACUUUCAAGGCUUAAUUGGGUAAGUUUCAUUGUCCCGUUUUUAGUAAUUUUGAUAUUUUUGAAACCGGAAUAGCUUAAACUAUCUAUUUUGGGGGAUUAAUUUAAAAAGUUAUCAAAGUAAGGAAAAUGGGUCAUGGAUGUAUAUGCUGAAAAUUAGAAAUUUAAGGUAGAAAAUGAAAGGUUGUUGAUAAAUCAACAACUUUUACAAAGUGAUUUUUGAUGAAAACAUGAUUUAGGGACUAAAAUGUAAACUUGUGAAAUUGAAAAAAAAUGUUGAAUUUUUAUGAAUACAUGUGCUGUAAAUUUUUUUAUGGGAUUUUUGGUUAGGCUUGGAAUAGGGAGUAAAUUGCAUAAGUUUCAUUUUCCGAGCCUAGGGAUGAAAUUAGAAUUUAUGGAAAAGUUAGGGGCAAAAUGGUAAUUUUUCCUAGGGCGUAAAUUGAGUUCAAAUAAUUAUGAAAUAUGAGAAAUUGAUGAUUGAAGCUAUUUAUAUAGAUCUGGACAACACAAAUUCAAGGUUAGACCGAGGAAAAGAAAAUGUUUCGAAUUAGUAGAUUUUAUAUGCGAACAAGUGUUAAUUGAAUGUUAUGCUUGUAUGUAAUGUGACUUACAUUGAAAUGCAUUACUUGAAUGCUAUAAUGGACAAUCUAAUGCAUGCUUGAAAUGGUGAAAAAGGGGUUAAGUCCCGAUUAAAUAUUGAAUUUCGAUGAAUAUAUAUGCUUCUCGAAAUGGAUGAGGUCCUGCAUUUGUUGCGGACGGGAUUUAACUCGGACGAGUAUUCCUAUUGACCUCAUUAUAGAAAUGAUUUAGCUCGGACGAGUAAUCCUGAUAUAAUACUUCUCGACUAUACAUUAUGAUUUGGGUUUAGCCUGGACUGGUAAUUCUAAUUUAGCUCUUCUAAGCAUACGUUAUAUAAAGGAUUUAGCCUGGACUGGUAAUCCUAUUAUACGAUAUGUAGCUCGAGAGUGUGUUCCUUAAUUAAAUGCCCUAAUGGGUACUCUUGAAUAUGAAUUGAUGAAUUAUUAAAUCGUAUACUUUGGGUGUACUACUUGAACAUCCAUCGGAAUUUCAAUGAUUCAAUGGACACGACUCUUGACAUGGUAUGAGAAUUUUUGAGAUGAAAUGAUAAUGACUUGAAAGAAUAUUGCAUGAUGAGCUCAUCUAUGUUUACUUGAUUGAUAUGAAGAUUUUGGUGACUAACAUAUUUGAUUGAAUGCAUGUGGUUAGGCAAUUUUGCUAAUGGAUGGAAAAACAUGAUAUUGUAUGCUUAGGUUUAAUAAACAGGAUUGGUAAGUUUAGUUUCCGUUAUACGAACUUACUAAGCAUGUAAUGCUUACUCCAUUUUAUUUUUCCCUAUUUUAUAGUACUCGAAAGCUCGCGAAGGUUGGAGAUCAUUGGAGCAUCAUCACACUAUCCACUAGCUUAUUUUGGGUUUACAUAUAGUAGAAUCAUUUUGGUAUAAUGGCAUGUAUAGGACAACUUGACCAUUAGUGGCUUGAAAAUGAUGUUUUUAAUCUAGCCAUUGGAAUGGCUAGUAAUUGUUGUUUUGAUAUACUUGUAAUGUCAUGCAAUGGUAGCUAAAUAUAUGUUAAGUGGUUGUUCAAAUUAUGCCUAACAUAUGGAAUAUACCGAUGUAAGAUUAUAAACAUAUAUGCAUGUAAUGAUAUGCCUUGUUGAAUGGUGGAAUUUUCUUAAUUUGAAUAUUUGAAUUGGUUGGUAUUUGGAUGUGUGUUUUAGUGCAGGAAAAUAGUAAAAUUGGGUGACAAAUGAGGCUAGGAAAUGGAUUUAUUUUGUCCACAUGGGCAGAUACAUAGGCGUGUGUCUAGACCGUGUGUGACACAUGGCUUGGUAACAUGGGCGUGUAGUUAGGCCUUGUGUCCCUUGCACCUUAAUUUUGAGAAACAAAAUGCUCAGAAUUGAGCACACGGGCAAAGACACGGACGUGUGUCUCAGUCGUGUGUGCUACACGGCCUAGAACACGAGUGUGUGUCUUGGCCGUGUGAAACCUGCACCUAAUUUCAAAUUAAAUUAAUUAACCACAUGGCCUAGCACAAGGGCGUAUGGCAUGGACGUGUGUACAAGUCAGAGAGUUACAUGGGGUCGAACACGGCCUAUAGUACGGGCGUGUCCCAGGGUCACACGGGCGUCUUCCUUGGACCACACGGGUGUGUGAGCCCUGCAACUUGGAAAAUUGUUGUAAUUUCACGAAAAAUUCUUAGAGCUCCUGAUUAAGUCCCAACUCGAUUCUAAUGCUUAUAUUGGGCCUCGAGGGUCUAAUUAAGGAACGUUUUGUAUGAUCUCAGUUAAUAAAUAGUAAUUUACAUAAAUUAUUGUAAAAUGUUCUGAAUGUUUUGGUAAUACUUUAAAACCCUAUUCCGAUGACGGAUACAGGUUAGGGGUGUUACAUGGGCUCUAUCACCCAACUGUGUGACUCCUAUUUUCAAACUUUUCAUAUUUGCCCCAAAUCUUUUGAUUUGUAUCAAAUUGGUCCCUAAUUGUUCCAAAACUAUUUUUGAGGCCUUAUAGCUUGGAUUUAAGGCCCAUAAAUGUUUGUUUCACUUUAAUUUAAAUGUAAUGAAAAUUUGAUAAUUAAAUUGUAAAAUUGAUACUUUGUGAUACUGAAUGUUCUGAAUUGUACACUAAUACUCUGUAACCUUAAUCCAAUGACAAAGACGGGUUAGGAGUGUGAUAAGGUGUAUGACCAGCAAGUUCGAUGAGCUAAAGUAUGCUAAUAAGCUUGGCUAGUAGGAGUUUUCUAGAAGGCUGAGUGAGCUGGAGUAUGCUAAAGAAUUUAAGGAACUUAGAUUGCUAGUAGGCUUGGCAAAACGGGGAUCACCAGUGGGUCAGUGAACUACAAUUUUUGGCUAUGAGUCAUAAGUAAGAAAAGUCAAAGUAGAGUCAUGCCUCGGUUAGGAAAGUUAGCUUGCUUUUCUCUUUGCAACACUAUCCAUGCAUGUAAUUAAAUUUUACUUCUAUUACGAUUAGAGUAUCAUAAGGACAUUAGGACACGUAGAGCCUAUAAUGUCCUUUCCAAUAAGGGAAUUUCAUUUGCUAUUCUCCUAAAUUUACUAUCAAUCAUUCUAUCGGUAAGUCCUAAGAUCCCAGCACUUAGAAAUCAAGAACCAUCAACAAGAAAAGUCAAGGGAAUAACAAAGCUUGUGAAUAAAGCCAAAAUACACUUCGCACUUAAGGGGGGUAACCUUGUGAACUGGUGAAGGGAUGAAAAUUAUUAUGGUUGGUGAGCAAACUCAAUUCUUGUCCAAUAUGGUCUUGGCAAUUAGGGUAGAGAAGUUGAUAAGGAAAGUCUGCGAAGCCUACCUUGCUUAUGUGGUGGGUUCACCAAGUAAACCGAUAGGAGUUUUCAACAUUCGCACGGUGAAAGACAAUCCUGAUGUAUUUCCAGAAGAGCAACUUGGAAUACCCCCAGGCUGCAAAAUGGAAUCCUCCAUUGAGUUAUACCUAGAUAGUUCGCCAAUGUCCAUUACACCUUAUCGAAUGGCACCAAAAGAGAUUAAAGAAAUGAAAAUCAAACUAUAAGAGUUGCUCGAUAGGGGUUUCAUUUGACCAAGUGUGUCGCCGUGGGGAUCACCAGUAUUGUUUGUAAAGAAGAAAAAUGAGAACUUCAGAAUCUGUAUUGACUAUAGAUUGUUGAAUAAAUUGACUACUUGUUCAAUUAGCUGCAAGGUGCCACGGUAUUUCCAAAGAUAGUCUUAGAAUCAUGGUACUACUAGCUUAAGGUUAAGGAAGCAAAUGUUUAGAAGAUAGCUUUUUACACAAGGUAUGGGCAUUAGGAAUUCCUAGUUAUGCUCUUUAAAUUGAAAAAUGCACCUACUGCAUUCAUGGACUUAAUGAAUUGAGUGUUCCACAUG
This 25676-nucleotide long non-coding RNA is filed under the name Gossypium barbadense (sea-island cotton). Its description in RNAcentral is "long non-coding RNA (GBAR_LNC006533)". The record is from RNAcentral. Lineage: Eukaryota; Viridiplantae; Streptophyta; Magnoliopsida; Malvales; Malvaceae.